This 492-nucleotide ribosomal RNA is filed under the name uncultured bacterium. RNAcentral's name for it is "partial 16S ribosomal RNA". It matches the Rfam family "Bacterial small subunit ribosomal RNA", at positions 29 to 507 of the family's 1533-position model. The record is from RNAcentral.
AGUGAACGCUGGCGGUAGGCCUAACACAUGCAAGUCGAACGGCAGCACAGUAAGAGCUUGCUCUUACGGGUGGCGAGUGGCGGACGGGUGAGGAAUACAUCGGAAUCUACUUUUUCGUGGGGGAUAACGUAGGGAAACUUACGCUAAUACCGCAUACGACCUACGGGUGAAAGCAGGGGAUCUUCGGACCUUGCGCGAUUGAAUGAGCCGAUGUCGGAUUAGCUAGUUGGCGGGGUAAAGGCCCACCAAGGCGACGAUCCGUAGCUGAUCUGAGAGGAUGAUCAGCAAAACUGGAACUGAGACACGGACAAGACUCCUACGGGAGGAAGCAGUGGGGAAUAUUGGACAAUGGGCGAAAGCAUGAUCCAGCAAUACCGCGUGGGUGAAGAAGGACUUCGGGUUGUAAAGCCCUUUUGUUGGGAAAGAAAAGCAGCAGGUUAAUACCCCGCUGUUCUGACGGUACCAAAAGAAUAAGCACCGGCUAACUUCGUG